RNAcentral lists this long non-coding RNA (474 nucleotides) under Homo sapiens (human). RNAcentral's name for it is "HSALNT0041837". Lineage: Eukaryota; Metazoa; Chordata; Mammalia; Primates; Hominidae. The record is from RNAcentral.
UGCUAGAAAAAUGGUACUCCCUUUGGGAUAUUUACCAAGCCAUGCAAUAUUUUAAAAUGUGGUAAAAUAUUUCUUGUUUCAGUGAAUAAGAAUGGUCUUCUUACAUAAUGCAGGGAUGGAAGAAGAUACUUGGAAAAAUCAGGGAAGAGUGAAGAAGAUACUUCAAAAAAUCGGGGAAGAUUUUCAUCAUAAGGUCCAAGCAAAGGCAUGAGUAUAAGAUAUUCCUGAGCCUGAGUCUACUGACAAAUAUACCACAUCCCCAGAGUAAGUUGGAGUCUCUUAAAAUUGUCUUGCUGGCAUCUAGCGGAGAUUGUCCCCACAAGCAUGUUCCUUAUGACGGAUGCCUGGGUCAGAACACAUAAUACAGUAAGUAUUGUAGAAGCUCUAGUAAUAUUGGUAUUGGUGACAUUUUAAUAGAACAAGUAUUUUGGUUUACCCUAAGAUUUUUCAUCAAAGGGGUUUAAGCUGACCUCU